RNAcentral lists this ribosomal RNA (403 nucleotides) under Verrucomicrobiota bacterium. RNAcentral's name for it is "Verrucomicrobia bacterium partial 16S ribosomal RNA". It matches the Rfam family "Bacterial small subunit ribosomal RNA", at positions 355 to 776 of the family's 1533-position model. The record is from RNAcentral. Lineage: Bacteria; Pseudomonadati; Verrucomicrobiota.
UGGGGAAUAUUGCACAAUGGGCGCAAGCCUGAUGCAGCAACGCCGCGUGAACGAUGAAGGUCUUCGGAUCGUAAAGUUUUGUUGCAGGGGAAGAUAAUGACGGUAUCCUGUGAGGAAGCCCCGGCUAACUACGUGCCAGCAGCCGCGGUAAUACGUAGGGGGCUAGCGUUAUCCGGAUUUACUGGGCGUAAGGGGUGCGUAGGUGGUCUUUCAAGUCGGUGGUUAAAGGAUACGGCUCAACCGUAGUUAGCCUCCGAAACUGGAAGACUUGAGUGCGGGAGAGGAAAGUGGAAUUCCCAGUGUAGCGAUGAAAUGCGUAGAUAUUGGGAGGAACACCAGUAGCGAAGGCGGCUUUCUGGACUGCAACUGACACUGAGGCACGAAAGCGUGGGUAGCAAACAGG